RNAcentral lists this long non-coding RNA (2653 nucleotides) under Homo sapiens (human). RNAcentral's name for it is "HSALNT0346387". Lineage: Eukaryota; Metazoa; Chordata; Mammalia; Primates; Hominidae. The record is from RNAcentral.
UGGGCAACAUAGCAAGACUCUAUCUCUGAAGACAAAACCAGCCAACCAACCAACCAACCAAUCAACCAACAAAAAAGAUCAAGCAGAGGUGCUCCAGAGGACGCAGCAAUAGAAUUCCGGAGCAAUGUCUGCUUGGCCUCGGUCUUCAUUCCCAUGGUGGCCCCUGAGUUCCGUGGAGCUCACUUCUACAUAGUUCCAUGUGUGACUUCAACAAAAUAAAAUGACGCAUUUAUUGGUUAAAAAUCAGAGAUUACCAUCAGAUAUGGAAAAUUGCUUUUACUUGGUAAUAACAAUCUUACGCACUUUUUACCAAACCCAUCGCAUUAAAUAACUAGCGUUUCAAAUUUUGACACUGCAUAAUAAACCCUCAUUUGAAAUGACUGGAGAAAUACUCAUCAAAUCUCAUGGAAGAAUGACAGAAUUUUCUCCAGAAUUUAUCGGAAAGGAAAAGAGGUUGGACUGUCAGGAAACGUUUUCAGGGUAACAUACUUACUAUUUUCUAGACAGUUACUCAGAUAACACUUGUACGCAGAGGGAAACACACCCCUGGGCUUUGCAAACACUUGUUUCCUGUGUGUCAGACUCGCCUGCAUCCUGUUUAUCAAAUGGAACGGAUAGUUAUUGAAAGCAAAGACCAGAACAACUUACCUCUUGUCAGUCACCUGCUUUUCUUUACUUGUCAUACUUUUAGCAUUUACAAAGUUUUAAAAAUGUGUUUAUCAUUUGGUAAUUAUUUUUAAACUUUAUUUGAAAAUAUAGACUGAGUUCUGAACAAAUUAUCCUUAAAUUUCUUCCUCUAGUAGUUACACUUUUCAGUAUCAGUGAAGUUUUAUGACGCCUCUAUUUUUCCUACCCACACAGCAUCUCAAGUUUGUCUUUACAGAAUAACUGGAAGUCCUAGCUUUAUCCUCUCUCUGCGUUUCUCUCUCACAGCCCCCUCCUCUUGGACUCUGCUCUUCCUCUCAGCACCGUAACCUUUUUAAUUUCCAGAUAGGUUUUGAAAACACCAUCUGUUCCCCUCUUAGGAUCCCUGGGGCAGAUGAUAGGUGAACCCCACAUCCCAGACACAUGGCCACCAAAGAUAUUCUUGCUUUUUUAAUGUUUAUCAAGUUCCUCCGCAGACAACAGAAACCAGAAAGUGAUCCGCUGCCAGCGACAGGGAGACACACAACUGGUCCUUAUUCUAAAGACCCGACCCAGCCUGGAAUGGGGCCCGGCGAGGAGUUCUUGCGCCGGCCGCGGGGACUGGGCGGUAAUGAGCCGCUAGUCUCGGAAGGUGGUGCUGUUGGGUGUGAGGGGAGAUCCGGCUUGCGCUGAAACAGCGAGCGGCGUGCAAGGAGGAAGCCGCGAUUUCCAAGGCGGAUUCCCUUCGCUGGGACACAACUCUUGAGAAUAAGACUUAUAAGGACUCUGAGAGUUUGAGGCAGAGGCAGAACGGCUCUGGGCUGAGUGAUGGGGAGGAUACCAGCACUCAGCGCGGGUGGCGGGCGCGGGGCCGAGCGCGCGCAUCCAGGGACGCCUUGGGGACGGGACGCGGAGAAAAGUUGCCGGGCGGAGAGAAAGGGUGGCGCUGGAAACCAAAUGGCUUUCAUCCCCUGGAGACAAAGAGGUGCCUUCUUUUGACAACAGCUGCCAGUGACACACACACCAUACGGCGGGGCCGGCGGGGGAGGGGAGCCCGGGAGGAGAGCGUCUAAGGCGGGGACCGGCACUGACUUUCAAUAAUGGGGUGGUUGCCAUGGUGACGGGCCAGGCAUCUAAAGGGGCGGCUGAAAGCACCCAUUGUUCUGGGGCCCGGCUGCUCGGGUUGUGCCUGUUCCUAAGAGACACCUUUAGACACCUCCCUCCGUGCAGGGGCGAGCUGCGGCCCGGGGCUGGGAGCGUCUCCGCGGGAGUUUCACACCAGGGCCCCAGGCCGCAGAUCGCAGCGCCGCCUUGGCUGCACGCGCGCUGCAUACGGAGGGCAGCGCCGCCUCCCACGCACUAUCCGCCCGAAAUCCGAGCGCGACGCGCGCCCGCCUGGGCCCAGACGCGCAGGCCGGGACACGCAGCUCCGCCUGCUCCCCGCUGUCCCGGGGAGACUUCGAAUAACAAUGCGGAGCAGGACCCGGUGACUCCACAAAUAACUCGCUGAGGUCUGGGGCGAGGGCACUCGGGAAAACCCCGCAGUCACUUUGCAGUCGUGCUGGAAGGAAAAGCAGAACGGAAUCACAGGAUAAAGAAGAUUAAAAGUAACAGGGCAGCGUUGCAAUGUUGCUUGUAAGAGCAAGCAGCUGGAAACAACCUAAAAGCCCGUCCCUGGGGGCUGGGUGAAUGAUAUGGGGCGCAUCCCUCUGAGGGAACACUAAGCUGCCAUUAAAGAGUACAGGGCAGCUGUAUUUGCUGAGACGUGGAAAUUUUCCGGUGUAUUCUAAGUAAUAAAGUGCAGAAGAGUGUGAGUAGGGCUGUGUGUAUGUGGUAUGUGUGUUUGCAUCUCUGGAAGUGGUUGCUUCUUAGGAUGGUCACUGUGGGACUAGGAGUGGAGGAGAGAAAGAAAACUUGCUUUUCACCGUACUAGAAUCUUCUGCACCUUUUGAAUUUUGCCGUUUAUACUAUGUCUUUACCUGUAAAGAAAAAAGAACUUUGAAAUAAAGUUGCAUUUGCUUGAACACUG